Molecule: long non-coding RNA, 873 nt
Organism: Suricata suricatta (meerkat)
Lineage: Eukaryota; Metazoa; Chordata; Mammalia; Carnivora; Herpestidae
Exons: 3
Source: RefSeq, a predicted model, not a curated record
CCGCGCUGCGGGACCCUACUCGGCGCGGCGCCCCCUCGCGGAUCCCAACUAUCUCCUGCAACUGCUGCUUUCACCCCACUCUCCUGGCGACCCCCAACUGGGAUACUCUGGGCUUUUGCACCACUCUAAUUUCCUUUCCCUUCCACGAACCCCUUCUUUUGCUCUCCGCUCCUAGUUCCGCGGAGAUGGCCAUGCGAAAAGCUCCUGCAUUGGGGGUUCACCAAAUCGGCCAGGGGAAGUGGAGGGCGAAGGAGAAGGCGGAGAGGGGGGACCCAGCUUGGGGCGAGGGUGCUGAGGUCCCGGAGCUGCGAGCAAGAGGAGACCUCUAGUUGGAGGGAGGCAGACGUGGAGGCAGAGUCCCGUGCCUUGGAGCAGAAGUGGGGACCUGAACCCUCGCAGAACCACAGAAGAGCUUAGCACAACUGGCCAAGGACAAACCCAGGGCGCCACGCCAGGGGCUGGACCGGUCGCUGCGCUCCCACCGGAAGGUCCCCUGCUUCCUAAUAUAUUUGCACCUGUGAAGAGUGAACUCUGUACCCAGAAGAUGUAAUUUUAGAAGAGUAGGAGUGGCUUGGAACAACCACCUCAAAACACACAGAAAAAGAAGAGCAAUCAGAUUAAUUGCUUCGGAGGGUUCGACUGACGUCAUUAACAUUUAUUCUACAGACAUUUUUGCCUCCCUUAUACCUGCCUUUCAAAAGCAGCCUAACAGUCUUAUACAGAUAUUUAUCUUAUUCUCAUACAGACACGUGGGUCUCAGAAAACACACAUAGUUCCACAGACAUCCCCUCAGCAACUCUGAGAAGACUAAAUGACCUCUCUGACUCUCUCCCAAUAAAGGACAGAAUUGGAUGAAAAAUGGAUUUAUUGAAA